RNAcentral lists this ribosomal RNA (520 nucleotides) under uncultured bacterium. RNAcentral's name for it is "bacterial SSU rRNA". It matches the Rfam family "Bacterial small subunit ribosomal RNA", at positions 120 to 674 of the family's 1533-position model. The record is from RNAcentral.
GGGAACAUACCCUUUUCUACGGAAUAGCUCUGGGAAACUGGAAUUAAUACCGUAUACGCCCUACGGGGGAAAGAUUUAUCGGGGAAGGAUUGGCCCGCGUUGGAUUAGCUAGUUGGUGGGGUAAAGGCCUACCAAGGCGACGAUCCAUAGCUGGUCUGAGAGGAUGAUCAGCCACAUUGGGACUGAGACACGGCCCAAACUCCUACGGGAGGCAGCAGUGGGGAAUAUUGGACAAUGGGCGCAAGCCUGAUCCAGCCAUGCCGCGUGAGUGAUGAAGGCCUUAGGGUUGUAAAACUCUUUCACCGAUGAAGAUAAUGACGGUAGUCGGAGAAGAAGCCCCGGCUAACUUCGUGCCAGCAGCCGCGGUAAUACGAAGGGGGCUAGCGUUGUUCGGAAUUACUGGGCGUAAAGCGCACGUAGGCGGAUAUUUAAGUCAGGGGUGAAAUCCCAGAGCUCAACUCUGGAACUGCCUUUGAUACUGGGUAUCUUGAGUAUGGAAGAGGUAAGUGGAAUUGCGAGU